AUUUGGAUUAGGAUUUGAUUAGGGUUUAGGGUUAGGAUUUGGUUAGGAUUUGAUUUAGGGUUUAGGGUUUGUUAAGAUUAGGAUAUGAUUUAGGAUUUGAUUUAGGAUUUGAUUUAGGAUUUAGAGUUUGGAUUAGGGUUUGGAUUAGAGUUUAGGGUUUGAUUUAAGAUUUGGUUAGGGAUUGGUUUAAGGUUUAGGGUUUGAUUAAGGUUUGAUUAGGGUUUGAUUUAGGAUUUAAGAUUUGUCUAGGGUUUGAUUAAAGUUGGAUUAGAAUUAGGGGUUGAUUAGAAUUUAAGAUUUUAUUAGAUUUUUGUUAGGAUUUGACUAAGUUUUUUUUAAUAUUCUUUUAUAUUUCUUUAGGAUUUCCUUGUAUUUCUUUUAUAACUUCAAUAAAAUUUAAUUGAGCUUGCUUAAUAUUUGAUUAUGAUUGUUA
RNAcentral lists this long non-coding RNA (433 nucleotides) under Physcomitrium patens. Its description in RNAcentral is "long non-coding RNA (PPAT_LNC012582)". The record is from RNAcentral. Lineage: Eukaryota; Viridiplantae; Streptophyta; Bryopsida; Funariales; Funariaceae.